This 404-nucleotide ribosomal RNA is filed under the name Acanthamoeba genotype T4. Its description in RNAcentral is "SSU rRNA". It matches the Rfam family "Eukaryotic small subunit ribosomal RNA", at positions 795 to 1112 of the family's 1831-position model. The record is from RNAcentral. Lineage: Eukaryota; Discosea; Longamoebia; Acanthamoebidae.
CCGAAUACAUUAGCAUGGGAUAAUGGAAUAGGACCCUGUCCUCCUAUUUUCAGUUGGUUUUGGCAGCGCGAGGACUAGGGUAAUGAUUAAUAGGGAUAGUUGGGGGCAUUAAUAUUUAAUUGUCAGAGGUGAAAUUCUUGGAUUUAUGAAAGAUUAACUUCUGCGAAAGCAUCUGCCAAGGAUGUUUUCAUUAAUCAAGAACGAAAGUUAGGGGAUCGAAGACGAUCAGAUACCGUCGUAGUCUUAACCAUAAACGAUGCCGACCAGCGAUUAGGAGACGUUGAAUACAAAACACCACCAUCGGCGCGGUCGUCCUUGGCGUCUGUCCCUUUCAACGGGGGCAGGCGCGAGGGCGGUUUAGCCCGGUGGCACCGGUGAAUGACUCCCUAGACCUUGGGUGAGAA